This 867-nucleotide ribosomal RNA is filed under the name uncultured bacterium. RNAcentral describes it as "bacterial SSU rRNA". It matches the Rfam family "Bacterial small subunit ribosomal RNA", at positions 8 to 916 of the family's 1533-position model. The record is from RNAcentral.
AGAGUUUGAUCCUGGCUCAGGAUGAACGCUGGCGGCGUGCCUUAAGCAUGCAAGUCGAACGGUUGAGUCGCAAGACAAGACAGUGGCAGACGGGUGAGUAACGCGUAGGAAUCUAUCCCUAGGUGGAGCAUAGCCCCUCGAAAGAGGGGGUAAUUCUCCAUAGUUCUCGUAAGAGUAAAGGACUUAACGGUCCGCCAAGGGGGGAGCCUGCGUCCUAUCAGCUAGUUGGCGGGGUAAAUGCCCACCAAGGCGAUGACGGGUAGCUGGACUGAGAGGUCGAUCAGCCACAACUGCACUGAGACACGGGCAGUACAUCUACGGAUGGCAGCAACUGGGAAUAUUGCGCAAUGGACGAAAGUCUGACGCAGCGACGCCGCGUGGAGGAAGAAGGCCCUCGGGUUGUAAACUCCUUUUACUAAGCCGUUCACAGCUUAGAGAAUAAGCUCCUACUAACUACGUGCCAGAAGUCUCGGUAAUACGUAGGGAGCAAGCGUUAUCCGGAUUCAUUGGGCGUAAAGUGUGCGUAGGCGUCCCAUAAAGUCUUUGCUUAAAGACCAAGGCUUAACCUUGGCAGUGGUGAAGAUACUCAUGGGAUUGAGGAUUGGUUGGGAAGCUGGAACAGUUAGUGUAGCAGUGAAAUGCGUUGAUAUUAACUGGAACACCAAGGGCGAAGGCAAGCUUCUGUACUUUUCCUGACGCUGAGGCACGAAAGCUGGGGUAGCGAAACAGAUUAGAUACCUGUGUAGUCCUAGCCGUAAACGAUGUCCGCUGGCUCUUGCCGACUUGUCGGCAGGGGUCCAAGCUAACGCAUUAAGCGGACCGCCUGGGGAGUACGGCCGCAAGGCUAAAACUCAAAUGAAUUGACGG